CGAACGUUAGCGGCGGGCUUAACACAUGCAAGUCGAACGAGAACGGUUUCCUUCGGGAAGCUUAGUAAAGUGGCGCACGGGUGAGUAACACGUGGAUAAUCUACCCUUCGGCGGGGGACAACCACUGGAAACGGUGGCUAAUACCGCGUACGACAUGCCUGACCUCGGUCGGGUUUGAGAAAGGCUUCGGCCACCGAAGGAUGAGUCCGCGUCCCAUCAGCUUGUUGGUAGGGUAAAAGCCUACCAAGGCUAAGACGGGUAGCUGGUCUGAGAGGAUGAUCAGCCACACUGGGACUGAGACACGGCCCAGACUCCUACGGGAGGCAGCAGUGGGGAAUAUUGGACAAUGGGCGAAAGCCUGAUCCAGCCACGCCGCGUGUGUGAUGAAGGCCCUCGGGUCGUAAAGCACUGUGGGGAAGGAAGAAGUUCUGACGGUACUUCCUUAGCAAGCACCGGCUAACUCC
RNAcentral lists this ribosomal RNA (464 nucleotides) under uncultured bacterium. Its description in RNAcentral is "bacterial SSU rRNA". It matches the Rfam family "Bacterial small subunit ribosomal RNA", at positions 30 to 504 of the family's 1533-position model. The record is from RNAcentral.